This 253-nucleotide ribosomal RNA is filed under the name uncultured bacterium. RNAcentral describes it as "partial 16S ribosomal RNA". It matches the Rfam family "Bacterial small subunit ribosomal RNA", at positions 524 to 776 of the family's 1533-position model. The record is from RNAcentral.
UACGUAGGGACCGAGCGUUGUCCGGAUUCAUUGGGCGUAAAGAGCUCGUAGGCGGCUUGUCACGUCGAUUGUGAAAGCCCGAGGCUUAACCUCGGGUCUGCAGUCGAUACGGGCUAGCUAGGGUGUGGUAGGGGAGAUCGGAAUUCCUGGUGUAGCGGUGAAAUGCGCAGAUAUCAGGAGGAACACCGGUGGCGAAGGCGGAUCUCUGGGCCAUUACUGACGCUGAGGAGCGAAAGCGUGGGGAGCAAACAGG